RNAcentral lists this ribosomal RNA (251 nucleotides) under uncultured prokaryote. RNAcentral describes it as "partial 16S ribosomal RNA". It matches the Rfam family "Bacterial small subunit ribosomal RNA", at positions 525 to 775 of the family's 1533-position model. The record is from RNAcentral.
ACGUAGGAGGCGAGCGUUAUCCGGAUUCACUGGGCGUAAAGCGCGUGCAGGCGGUUCGGUAAGUUGGGCGUGAAAUCUCCCGGCUCAACUGGGAGAGGUCGUUCAAUACUACCGGACUUGAGAGCGAUAGAGGAAAAUGGAAUUCCCGGUGUAGUGGUGAAAUGCGUAGAGAUCCGGAGGAACACCAGAGGCGAAGGCGACACCCUGGGCCGUACCUGACGCUAAGACGCGACAGCACGGGGAGCGAACGG